RNAcentral lists this ribosomal RNA (341 nucleotides) under uncultured Pseudomonadota bacterium. RNAcentral describes it as "bacterial SSU rRNA". It matches the Rfam family "Bacterial small subunit ribosomal RNA", at positions 29 to 351 of the family's 1533-position model. Lineage: Bacteria; Pseudomonadati; Pseudomonadota. The record is from RNAcentral.
AACGAACGCUGGCGGCGUGCCUAACAUAUGCAAGUCGUACGAGAAAUCCUGGGCAACUGGGAGAGUAAAGUGGCGCACGGGUGAGUAACGCGUGGGUAACCUACCCUUGAACUGGGGAUAACUCUUCGAAAGGGGAGUUAAUACCGAAUAAUAUUCCAAUUCCUAUGGGAGUUGGGAUCAAAGGUGGCCUCUGCAUGCAAGCUAUCGUUUAAGGAUGGGCCCGCGUACCAUUAGCUUGUUGGUAGGGUAAUGGCCUACCAAGGCAACGAUGGUUAGCUGGUCUGAGAGGAUGGCCAGCCACACUGGAACUGAGAUACGGUCCAGACUCCUACGGGUGGCUG